GACGAACGCUGGCGGCGUGCCUAAUACAUGCAAGUAGAACGCUGAAGGAGGAGCUUGCUUCUCUGGAUGAGUUGCGAACGGGUGAGUAACGCGUAGGUAACCUGCCUGGUAGCGGGGGAUAACUAUUGGAAACGAUAGCUAAUACCGCAUAAGAGUAGAUGUUGCAUGACAUUUGCUUAAAAGGUGCAAUUGCAUCACUACCAGAUGGACCUGCGUUGUAUUAGCUAGUUGGUGGGGUAACGGCUCACCAAGGCGACGAUACAUAGCCGACCUGAGAGGGUGAUCGGCCACACUUGGACUGAGACACGGCCCAGACUCCUGCGGGAGGCAGCAGUAGGGAAUCUUCGGCAAUGGACGGAAGUCUGACCGAGCAACGCCGCGUGAGUGAAGAAGGUUUUCGGAUCGUAAAGCUCUGUUGUAAGAGAAGAACGAGUGUGAGAGUGGAAAGUUCACACUGUGACGGUAUCUUACCAGAAAGGGACGGCUAACUACGUG
This 495-nucleotide ribosomal RNA is filed under the name uncultured bacterium. RNAcentral describes it as "partial 16S ribosomal RNA". It matches the Rfam family "Bacterial small subunit ribosomal RNA", at positions 28 to 507 of the family's 1533-position model. The record is from RNAcentral.